Molecule: ribosomal RNA, 225 nt
Filed under: uncultured bacterium
Lineage: Bacteria
Description: partial 16S ribosomal RNA
Rfam family: Bacterial small subunit ribosomal RNA
Source: RNAcentral
CGUAACACGUAUGCAACCUACCUGUAACAGGAGUAUAGCUCGGGGAAACUCGAAUUAACCCUCCAUAAGAUCGUGAAGUGGCAUCACUUAGCGCUUAAAACUGAGGUGGUUACAGAUGGGCAUGCGUCUGAUUAGUUAGUUGGCGGGGUAAUGGCCCACCAAGACGAUGAUCAGUAGGGGAACUGAGAGGUUGAUCCCCCACACUGGCACUGAGAUACGGGCCAG